CAGCAGUAGGGAAUAUUGGUCAAUGGGCGAAAGCCUGAACCAGCCAUGCCGCGUGUCAGAUGAAGGUCCUCUGGAUUGUAAAUGACUUUUCUACGGGAAGAAUGAGCCGUCUGCGGACGGAAGUUGACGGUACCCGUAGGAAUAAGCACCGGCUAACUACGUGCCAGCAGCCGCGGUAAUACGUAGGGUGCAAGCGUUGUCCGGAUUUACUGGGUUUAAAGGGUACGUAGGCGGUUGUGCCAAGUCUGGGGUGAAAGUUUGCAGCUCAACUGUAAAAUUGCCUUGGAUACUGGUCGGCUAGAGUAGUGGAGCGGUGGCUGGAAUUUAUAGUGUAGCGGUGAAAUGCUUAGAUACUAUGAGGAACACCAAUUGCGAAGGCAGGUCACUGGUCACUAACUGACGCUGAGGUACGAAAGUGUGGGGAUCAAACAGGAUUAGAUACCCUGGUAG
This 450-nucleotide ribosomal RNA is filed under the name uncultured bacterium. RNAcentral describes it as "bacterial SSU rRNA". It matches the Rfam family "Bacterial small subunit ribosomal RNA", at positions 349 to 793 of the family's 1533-position model. The record is from RNAcentral.